AACUGAUUAGAAGCUUGCUUCUAUGACGUUAGCGGCGGACGGGUNAGUAACACGUGGGCAACCUGCCUGUAAGACUGGGAUAACUUCGGGAAACCGAAGCUAAUACCGGAUAGGAUCUUCUCCUUCAUGGGAGAUGAUUGAAAGAUGGUUUCGGCUAUCACUUACAGAUGGGCCCGCGGUGCAUUAGCUAGUUGGUGAGGUAACGGCUCACCAAGGCAACGAUGCAUAGCCGACCUGAGAGGGUGAUCGGCCACACUGGGACUGAGACACGGCCCAGACUCCUACGGGAGGCAGCAGUAGGGAAUCUUCCGCAAUGGACGAAAGUCUGACGGAGCAACGCCGCGUGAGUGAUGAAGGCUUUCGGGUCGUAAAACUCUGUNNUUAGGGAAGAACAAGUACAAGAGUAACUGCUUGUACCUUGA
This 422-nucleotide ribosomal RNA is filed under the name Priestia sp. RNAcentral's name for it is "bacterial SSU rRNA". It matches the Rfam family "Bacterial small subunit ribosomal RNA", at positions 65 to 483 of the family's 1533-position model. The record is from RNAcentral. Lineage: Bacteria; Bacillati; Bacillota; Bacilli; Caryophanales; Bacillaceae.